RNAcentral lists this long non-coding RNA (263 nucleotides) under Mytilus galloprovincialis (Mediterranean mussel). The record is from RNAcentral. Lineage: Eukaryota; Metazoa; Mollusca; Bivalvia; Mytilida; Mytilidae.
AUGAUUCCAGAAUCACAUGAAAGAAUUGGAAAAUCAGAUAUCUGUGUUAGCCUUAAGUUAGUUUUGAUACGUUUAAAAAGUAAACCAUUAUUAUAUGAUAAUAAAAAAAAAGCUGCUUCAUAUGAAUUUUAAUAAUCAUCUUUAUUGAUUAUUAAAAAUGAAUAUUUGUGUUUGUUAUAAAACAAGUUAUAUUUCUUACUCUAAUCAUCAUGAUUUUUUAAAUAUUUUAUGUGCAAUAUUUGUUUGUAUGUAUAUAGAAAAGC